ACAUGGACCUAACUCUGCAAGUUGCAGUGCACUCAUUUCCUGUUAAUUUUAUCAGCAGCUGGGACCCCUCAGAACUUUGAAGCCAAAUUAUGCAAGGCCUGUUGGGAACCUUUGUGGCAGAGGAAAGAUUAUUUUCCUGUUGAUUGUCUCCGUGAUCUUGAGCUCAAAAGACUUUUUAUAGAAAACAGAGAAAUCCAAAAUGGAAUGUAUGAUCAAAUGGACAGAAAGGGGAAAGCAGUGUUUCAAUUUGAC
RNAcentral lists this long non-coding RNA (252 nucleotides) under Manacus vitellinus (golden-collared manakin). RNAcentral's name for it is "lncRNA (ENSMVIG00005003307.1)". Lineage: Eukaryota; Metazoa; Chordata; Aves; Passeriformes; Pipridae. The record is from RNAcentral.